This 31-nucleotide non-coding RNA is filed under the name Rattus norvegicus (Norway rat). The record is from RNAcentral. Lineage: Eukaryota; Metazoa; Chordata; Mammalia; Rodentia; Muridae.
UUAGAUUGUUGUUAGCCUCUUUCAAUAUGGU